Molecule: ribosomal RNA, 459 nt
Filed under: uncultured bacterium
Lineage: Bacteria
Description: partial 16S ribosomal RNA
Rfam family: Bacterial small subunit ribosomal RNA
Source: RNAcentral
CCUACGUGAGGCAGCAGUGAGGAAUAUUGGUCAAUGGGCGCGAGCCUGAACCAGCCAAGUAGCGUGAAGGAUUACUGCCCUACGGGUUGUAAACUUCUUUUAUAAAAGAAUAAAGUGAGGCACGUGUGCCUUUUUGUAUGUCCUUUAUGAAUAAGGAUCGGCUAACUCCGUGCCAGCAGCCGCGGUAAUACGGAGGAUCCGAGCGUUAUCCGGAUUUAUUGGGUUUAAAGGGAGCGUAGAUGGGUUGUUAAGUAAGUUGUGAAAGUUUGGGGCUCAACCGUAAAAUUGCAUUUGCUUCUGGCAGUUGUGAGUACAGUUGAGGUAGGCGGAAUUCGUGGUGUAGCGGUGAAAUGCUUAGAUAUCACGAAGAACUCCGAUUGCGAAGGCAGCUUACUAAACUGCCACUGACAUUGAUGCUCGAAAGUGUGGGUAUCAAACAGGAUUAGAUACCCUAGUGUC